UACGGAGGGUGCAAGCGUUAUCCGGAUUCACUGGGUUUAAAGGGUGCGUAGGAGGGCAGGUAAGUCCGUGGUGAAAUCUCUGAGCUUAACUCGGAAACUGCCAUGGAUACUAUCGGUCUUGAAUAUGGUGGAGGUCAGCGGAAUAUGUCAUGUAGCGGUGAAAUGCUUAGAUAUGACAUAGAACACCGAUUGCGAAGGCAGCUGCUACGCCUAUAUUGACUCUGAGGCACGAAAGCGUGGGGGAUCAAACAGG
RNAcentral lists this ribosomal RNA (253 nucleotides) under uncultured bacterium. RNAcentral describes it as "partial 16S ribosomal RNA". It matches the Rfam family "Bacterial small subunit ribosomal RNA", at positions 524 to 776 of the family's 1533-position model. The record is from RNAcentral.